AAUAAAUAAUCUCGUUUCGAAUAUUGUCACUUUAUUUGAAAAAACUCCAUUAUACCCUCUUUCGGGGUAGAAAAAAGGAUGUGUGACAGUUCUGACGACUCUGAUGGGGACAAGAAUCCAAAACUUCUGGUUAAGGGUUUAGAAUUCGAGCUUAAAUAAUUGUUAUAGUUGACUUUUAUUUAUUAUCUGAUUUUUACGUAUUUGAGACUAAUGUGCUAAAUAUCGCUUUUUACCGCUUUGAUAUUCUGUGAACUGUUUAUAAACUGUUACGAAACUCUUCUUCUCUCUAAAUCUUCUGGGAAGUACACACUAGCGUGACUUCUUUUCUGUUAGUGCCAUACCCUAAUUUAUAACGAGGAUCAAAUAAGUUACAAAGUCGGAUGGCCUUUUUGUUACCGUAUGUCCCCUCCNNNNNNNNNNNNNNNNNNNNNNNNNNNNNNNNNNNNNNNNNNNNNNNNNNNNNNNNNNNNNNNNNNNNNNNNNNNNNNNNNNNNNNNNNNNNNNNNNNNNNNNNNNNNNNNNNNNNNNNNNNNNNNNNNNNNNNNNNNNNNNNNNNNNNNNNNNNNNNNNNNNNNNNNNNNNNNNNNNNNNNNNNNNNNNNNNNNNNNNNNNNNNNNNNNNNNNNNNNNNNNNNNNNNNNNNNNNNNNNNNNNNNNNNNNNNNNNNNNNNNNNNNNNNNNNNNNNNNNNNNNNNNNNNNNNNNNNNNNNNNNNNNNNNNNNNNNNNNNNNNNNNNNNNNNNNNNNNNNNNNNNNNNNNNNNNNNNNNNNNNNNNNNNNNNNNNNNNNNNNNNNNNNNNNNNNNNNNNNNNNNNNNNNNNNNNNNNNNNNNNNNNNNNNNNNNNNNNNNNNNNNNNCCUCCCGCCCUGGCUCGAGUUGUCCGCUCGGGUAAGCCAGGUCUAGAACAAUACAGUUAGGGUUUUUUAAACCUAGAAUAAUAUAGGCUCAUGUCGGGUCCCUAGUAAGAACGUUUGUUUGCAUCAUGUUCAUUUGACUUUUGGGACUCAAUACAGGGGUUGGGUCCGUCUAGGACAGGUGUACCCAAAUUAAAAAGACCAUCAUGAUGCAUCUUACGUGCUACUUGCGUGUUUAUUUACUUCGGCUUGCAUGUUGGCUGGUUUCUAAAAUAGAGAAAGAAAAUAAAAAAAAGGAAAAGAAAAUCAAGAAAAAAAGAAGAGUGAGGUAGGAUAGAAAAACGCCCGUUUCUGAAAAUCCUGAUAUUCAAAAAUCUCGAAACUCUUCCGAAAUUUUGAAAAAAAAAAGAAGAGAAAAGUAGAAAAAGAAAAUUUAUUUCAAAAUAAGUCAUCUUUCCUCUGUUCCAUCAAAACUGACCGAUUUACGCGGAUCUGACUCUCACUGGAUGUGAGAUACGUAGUCAAACCUCAUUGGUUCCAGAUCCAAUUUUCAAAAUUUUCAAAAAAAAUUCAUUUUCUUCAUUCUUUAGAAAAGUCUUUCUAUAAGACCUCAAUUUAACAAAAUAAUUCAAAAAUAUUUUCAUUUAGUUUCUUCUAAAAGUUCAAAAAUAUUUUCAUUUUUCUUUAGAAGUUUUAUUUUCGAAAAUUGAAAAGAAAAUUCAAGAUUCAAAAAUAUUUUCCUUAAAAGUCUUUCUUUCAUAAUUUUAACAUAAAAAUCCAAAAAUCCAAACAUAUUUUGUUUCUCCUUUAGAAGUUUUCUUUCGAAUUUCCAAAAAAAGAAAAUCAAAAUAAAAAUAUUUUCUUUUUUCUUUAUAAGUCUUUCUUUUGAAAAUUAAAAAAAUCAAAAUCAAAAAAAGAUUUCGUUUAUUUUCGAUCUUCCCGAACUAUGCAAGAUCUAAUUCAUGUUCCCACAUAAUAUGUAGACAACCCAUAUCAGGUUCGAUCAAAUGAUUUUGAAAAAAGAAAAGAAAAGAAAAGAGGGUGAAAAAAAUGAAAACAUGAUAAUAAUAAGGACUGAUUGAGUUCAUUCUAACAUGUUUUUGUUUUGAAUUGUGAAGAAAAUUGAGGUGGUCGAUUUCUGGUAAGCUAACAACACAAAAUCCAAAGCAAAAAAUGACAACUGACAUCGAAAUUGUUGCAAGCAGCCAUGAGACUCAGGGUCAGAGGAUUCAACAAGAGUCUACUGUGGUUGAGGAAAAUAGAGUACUGAAACAAAAAAUGACUGAAAUGUGUCAAGCAUGGGCCAACGGCCAAGGACCGCCCUUUCUUCUCAUGGUUUCCCAUAGUUCACACCCAUCUCGACUACUUCCAUUCCAUUCUCAUUAUCUGAUCAAUCUUUGGAUUUAGUCAUUAUCCCAACAGUACGACUACAGCUAGAACGUUUGUUUCAUGCUCUCAAAGUUUGUCAUUGACAACCAAUAAGACAAACUCUACUGUUAUGCCUGUCUUUACCAUCAUACAAUCGACGGUGGUACAGAGGAAAACUCAUGAGCUAUAAUUUGCUACUGAGAAAGAGCAGUACCACUCGUACUUGUUUGAUAUUCCUUUAAACAUUGAGAAGCCUACUCGAAAGAUGGCACAUGAAGAAAUGACCCAAAGAAUGAAAAGCUUAGAACAACGGUUGAAAAACAUGCAAGGGUUGGCUGGUUAGAAGAACAUUGCCUUCAAGGAUUUAUUUAUGUUCCUCGAUGUCCACUUGCCACCUGGUUUCAAGACUCCCAAAUUUGAAAAGUAUGAUAGACAUGGAGAUCCCAUGGCCCACCUGAAAAGGUAUCGCAAUCAGCUAAGAGGUGCUGGACGAAAUGAAUAAUUGCUAAUAGCUUAUUUUGGGAAAAGCCUUAUGGGAGCAGCCUCCGAAUGAUUUAUGGAUCAAGAUACCUCUCACUCGCAUGUUUUUGGGAUGACAUGGCUCGGGCCUUUGUCAAAUAGAUACAACAUUGACAUUGCUCCAUACCAGAAUUCCCUUUCAAACAUGAUGAAGAAACUAAAUAAAAGUUUCAGGGAAUAUGCCAUUAAAUAGAGAGAGCAAGCUGCUAGAGUUAAGCCAUCCAUGGAAGACCACGAGUUAAUCACUGUCUUUCUUUAGGCUCAAGAGCCAAAUUAUUUUCAAAACAUGAUGUCCACAGUGGGAAAAUCCUUCUCGGAAUAAUUCAAAAUAGGAGAAAUGGUAGAGAAUGGUCUUAAGACAGGCAAAAUUAUAUGUCAAGCAGUUUUUAAAGCAGUAACUCAGGCUGUCCAGGCUGAAUCUGAUAAUUUUAGUGACACAAAUGAGAAGGAUGAAGAACUCAUGACAAUGAUAGGGUCGAGAAGAGGUCCCAGGAGAACAUCUUGAAGGUAUGAGCAGUCUCAUGAGAUUUCCCAUGACUCCUAUAAGCAUUACUAUCCACCUCAGAACACACAAUACUCUGUUGCUCCACCUCAGUAUGUGGUCUAUCGACCAAAACACUCCAGAAGGCGAGCACGAGCACCGCAAAAUUUUUAUGUGCCCUACAACCCACAUCCAAGACAGGGGUAUAGAGCAUAACAAAGGUUGAAAGAUAAUUUUACACCAAUAGGAGAGUCAUAUGCAAGCUUGUUUAAGAAAUUAAAGCAUUAUGACAUGAUUGCACCUAUUCCUCCAAAUCAUCUGGACCCACGUGCAAGAAGAUUUGACCCUUCUAAAAGGUGUGAAUACCAUGCUAAUGUCUAGGGGCACAAUGUUGAAAGUUGUUGGGAUAUGAAAAGAGAAAUUGAAAGGAUGAUCAAGGAAAAACUGAUUGUAAUCCAAGACAGUGAUACCUAGAGUAUCGCGUGGAGUCCUUUAUAUGCACAUGAUGAUGCAUGGUGACACGAAGAAUGAGAAUCCCUUCGAGAAUUCGCUGACUGAAAUUAGAGAAGGAAAUAGUGAUUAUGAUGAGCAAAGUUGUGGCUAAAUGUCAAGCUUAGCCAUUGAAAAGUCAUUCUAUCCUCACUAGGAAGGAAUCUUGGUAGCUUGUUUUGAUGUUUUUUCUGUUAUCUGGGUUAUUUUAGGGUUGUGAUCCAAUUUUUAUUUGUCUAAUUGAGUCAAACUCUCCUAUCCCUUUAUUUUGUCUGCAUGAGUCUUGUCUGUUUGUUCUGUUGCUAUUUCAGUGUCUGGGUUAUUUCACGGUUGUAGUUCGGAUUUUAGGUUGUUUUUCUUAUUUUCAAACCCUUCCAUUCUUAUUCACUAAAAUACAGCUUUCUGUGUCAUUCUGUGCUUAGUUUCUUUCCGCUAGUUUUAGUGAGAUGAUAUGCAUGCAGAAUUGUUGGCCAGGUCUUAGAAAAUUUAUUUGAGCUUGAAUUGGAUAACUGGAAACAAGAAACUUUUGAGGAUGAAAAAGAGUUGAAAUACCUUGGAAUUAAGUCCGAGGAAGAUUCAAGUGGAACUAGAAUAGUCAUACCCGUAGAGGUUAAGAAUCUUUACCUUCAAAAUCAUUGUAAAGGUCGGGCUUGAGGAAAAUCAAUUGAAGUUUGUUAGAAAGUUUGACAUUAAAGGAUUAAAAGUGUCUUGUAACCACGACACACCAAUAAGAUAGACAUGUUCAUCAAUGUUGUGAUAGCAAAAAAGAUAAUAUGUUUGGCGUUACUUGAGGUUGAGAGGCCUUUUUUACGCUACGCAAACACUUCGUACCCUUUGUUACCCCUUUUGAGCCUACGUUAUUUUCUUUGACCACCCUCUUUUGGAAUCGGGUUUAAAGUCAAAAAUGAAUAAUAAAAGAACUAUCAAAGGUCCAUGCCCCCUGAAAAUAGAAGAUGGGGCAACUUCUUUCAAAAACAAAAAGAAAAAAGAAAGGAAAAAGAAAUAGAAAGAAGAUGAAACAAAUUAAUUAGCUCAAAUGUUUGAACUACGUUUGACCUGAUUCCUUAAAAAAUGGUACGUAAGCAGCCUUGUGGUUUGGUUCAACCAAAUAAGAAUUCGAAAAAAAUUCAAAAAUCUCUAGUGUUUGAAACUGCGGAAAAAAAUUUAUUCCUUUUUUGAAAGAGUCGAUUCCAAGAGUUGUAAGUCUACAACCCCCUCAGUUUGAGUCGACUUUAAGCAUUCAUGCCGUCUUUUCUUUCCAACCCUAUCCAAGAACCUUCAAAAUAAAGACCUCCUCAUCGUUCUCCAAGAAUGACAACAAAAGCAUGAAUGAGCAACGAUUGUCACACAAUAUAGAACACUAUCAAGUUGCUCACAAUAAAAGGAAAGAAAAAUAAAAAUAAAAAUGAAAGAGUCUUACUAGUGAAAAUCCCCACGGGCACUGUAAGUUGACGAACAAUCCCGACUUGAAAGUUUAUAAGAAUUGCAAAAGGUAAUAUUGGAUUAGUUUGAUAGGCUAUGUCGUUGAGUCAAAAAUGCAUGCCAUGAUUAUUAAGCCUAGUUAUUGAAAAAAGGAAAAAAGCACUUCCUUCUAUCCUUCCGACAGGAGCAUUUCUUAUUAAUACUUGUUUCUUUGUAUUAUUGUGUCCUUCACUUUGAGUUGAUCCUUGUCAAAACAAGCAAGAAAAGAUUUUAAAAUCUGCUACCAGCUUUUAUUGCACAAAGUAAAUUUGGCCAGCAUACUCAGUUGUUACUGUCGAUAUACCUUGAGGAUUCAUGCAAAGGCUCCCCUAAAAAAGACACUUCUCAGACAACUUGGAGCAAGCAAAGAUAACUGGUGAUUCUCUCAAGAUAUCAGAAAAAGUCACCUAAGCAAAGAUUUCCCGUUGGGAUAAAGCUGAUUGAGCCACAAAUACAAAUGGUGCUGGGUGUGAAAAAUUUAGGGUUGAUUCAGAGGAAAAGUUUCUUAAAACCAACUCAAACUGAUUGAACAGAAGCCAAGUUGCCCAAGACUCAAGGCAUCAAACCGACCACCACUUUUAAAACUGAGAAAUUUUUCUUUGUGAAACGGGAACAAAGUAGUGCAAGGAAAGUGGUUCUAAAAAAUAAAUUUAAAAAAACAAAAAAAAAAAGAGGAAAAAGAAAAGAAGAGAAGAGUCGACAAAGGGAAGUUUCUCAAAUCUUUGCCUUUAAUUGUCUCGUUGUUGUGCAUAAAAUCUUGUCAUUGAUCUUCACACUUUCCUCAUAGGGUAAAAAGUCCUAGUCUUAUGUAUUUUCCACCCGAUAAAAAAUCCUAGUCUGAUGAAUCUUUCUCCUAGGAUAAAUAUCUUUGUUUGAUGAAUUUUUAUCCUAAGAUAGGAAACUUAGUCAGAUGAAUUUUUUCCUUAGGAUAUAAAUCUUAGGCUGAUGAAUCUUUAUCCUGAGAAAACAAAACAAGAGGGGGAUGGGGGACCUAGUCUGAUGAAUUUUUUCUUAGGAUCAAAAUCUUAGUAUGAUGAAUCUUUCUCCUAAGAUAGAAGACCUAGUCGGAUGAACUUGCUCCUAAUAUAGAAAUCUUAGUCUGAUGAAUUUUUUUCCUAAGAUAGAACACCUAGUGUGAUAAACUUUCUCCUAGGAUAGAAAUCUUAGUCCGACGAAUCUUUCUCCUAAGAUACCAAAAAAGAAAAGUGACCUAGUCUGAUGAACUUUCUCCUAGGAUCGAAAUCUUAGUUUGCUGAAUCUUUCUCCUAAGGUAAGACACAUCGUCUGAUAAACUUUCUCCUAGGAUCAAAACCUUAGUUUGAUGAAUCUUACUCCUGAGAUAGAAAACCUAGUCUGAUGAAUUUUCUCCUAGGAUAAUAAUUUUUUUUAUAAGAAAAGGGAAGUCUAGAUUUGGAAAAAAGGGGGUCAAUUUCUAGUUUUCUUAAGUUAAUAAUUUUUAGUCUUCUUGAAAUCAGAGGUCUCGUCUGGAGAAUAGGGUCAAUGUUUACUUUAAUCAAGCAUAUUUUAUAGUGUUUCGCAGGCUCAAUCUUAAAUCUAAGAGACACACUUCCUAGUCUGGGUCAUUUAGUUUUUUUAGCAGAUACAUUUGCUAGUCGAAAUUUUCUUGAUUUUACUCACAGGAGACACACUUCAUAGUCGAGACUCCAAUUUUACUCUCAUCAGUAGCAUAGGUGAUUUAUAGUUCUUCUAACAACUCACAAAUCUUCCUAGUGCAAACGGAGGCAGAAAAGUUUCUUUUGUUUUAUUUGUUUUGUUGUAGUAGUAGGCACCCACCUGAAGAAAAAGGGAAUUUAUUUCAGUCAUUUGAAGUUUCAAGUCGGUAGCAGGUGCCCACCUUGAGAAUAAGAGAAUUAAUUUCAAGUUGGAGUCAAAGACAGCAGGAUCCCUCCUGAAGAAUAAGGGCUACCUCCCGUCCUAUUCAAGUUAGAAGUAGCAAAAGCUCGCCUCAAGAAUGCAGGUCGAAAGGGGUCCGAGAUAACCAAAAAGAAUUCUCAUUCAAGAAUAAAAGAAAAAAAAAUGAAUCCAAAGUGCAGAAGUUGAUAAAAGAUGUGGACUGCUCAAGACAUAAUUAAAGUCACAAGCUCUGCUUGUCUCGUCUUGAUCUAAAAAAGCUUAAGAAGAUUGAACCAACACCUGCAACUAACAAGCAUCAAGGUUUAGAUCAAAGUCCACAUGAAGAACCAACCAAGACUCAAGAUCAAGCUUCAGAAGACUUAUAGAUAGGAAUAUUGUAACUCGUAGUUGAUAGACUUAGUUAGUCUUUUUUUAAUUUUGAUUUUGAUGUAAUAACGGGACCGCAGACCAGAACCCCGAUGACACCUCAAGAGGCCCAAACUUUACAAAAAUACAGGCUGAAGGUAGAAGACCCAUAAUCGAGCCUAAAUGAAAACAAACUGACAUACAAACCAAAGAGAUAUGCCAAAUGAACUUGAUCGUCAAUAUCUAACAGCUUGACAUACAUGAAAUAUUAAUUGCUUUCAAAAACCAUCUUACAUUCGUUCCUUGCUAUCCAAUCCCAAUUUUAUGUUAAAUACUGAUAUUAUCAAAAAUAAAGCACACCAUAUAAAACUCAUCACUUAAUGCAAACCUUAAUGCGGUACAUCAUAUCUAAGCCCAUACUAAGCCCAUAUGGAUUGAUUUUAUGAAAACCUUCAGCAUUAAUCUCCUGGAUUCCUCUUCCUUAGUAUUCGUGUCCUAAUUUACACAUGCCGACAUAUUUAAGCACAGAAUAUAAACCAACGUAUGUUGAAUCUUCAUGCAUCAGCCUUCAAAUACUGCACAUAAUCACUAUUGUAGAAGAAAUUGUGUAUUCCUUUUCAAAGAGAAUGUGACAGCAUAUCCAACAGUCAACAUACACAAUAGAUUUCAACCAUUUUACAGGCUAACAUACUACCUUUAAACACCUAUUCCACCAUUACAAACACAACCUUAGGCUAAUAACAUAAAUAAGCAAGCAAUCUCAUGAAGCAAAGCUGAAUUACUAAAGAAUUAAAGGAGUUUAAUGACAUAAAAUGACAUUUGAUAAACAACAUGUCAUGAAACUUUCCAUCAGAUUAUGUAACUUCAGAUUUCCAACUCUUACACAUCUAGGGAUCUAGAAAGUACCUAGAAAUUACAAAAGGAAGAAGAGGUGAAAGCGAUGAAUAGCAACAUCAGGACAACAAUGAGACAAUAUCAGCAGAAAUCAACUCCACCAGCAAAAGAAUUGUAAGCCACCACCAAACUCAAGUAAAAAAAUUCUUUAACCAACAGAUUCAGUCCAUUUGUGAAGUCCAAACCAAUAAAAUGACAAAUCCUAGAGAAUCAGCCCCAAUUUCUAACUCAAACCAUUUUCAAACUCCAAAUGAAUCACAAGUUGCUUCAGAGGCUGAAAAUUUCAGGAAUCAAAGAAGGAAAUUCAAUAGAACAAUAUUUUUCUCUCAAAAGUUCUAGUUGUCUGUAUUUUGUAUUUUCAGCUCUUAAGUUCUCUGCCUUGAAAGGCAAGGUAAAGAUGCCUUUAUAGGCAAACAAAUAGGGCAGACCUAAAAGUUCAGUUUUGCACUUCUAGUACCUCUCUAAUUUUAUUUUUUGCUUAAUCUAAGAAGCUUCCUAAACAGUUAACAAAGAUUUCCUCACCUAAAUUCCCUAAAUUACCCCUGAAACCUUGUUAAUUAACCCAAAAGCCCAAACGGGUCAACUGGCUAAGCUAAAUGGGUUGUAGCCCCCAAAUUGGAUCCUUAUUUGGGCAUGUUGCUAUUUAUCAACCAACUAAGAAUACUUAGGGGCUCCGGAAUAAAACUAACCUAGAAUUUUCCCCAAAUGAAGAAAACCCAAACCCAAUUCUGUGAAAGCAAACUGAAACAAAAGCAAAAAAUGAAUGAAUUAACCACUAUAAUUUCAUAAUAACAAUUAACUAAUCAUUGACCUAAUUUUAUUAGCUAGAUGAUUUAACUAACGAUGAGACAACAAUUAGCUAUUAACAUAGAGAUUAAAACCAAGAGAAGAAAGUGUAUUAAAAGGAACUGAGAUAUUAUAGCUAACAAAGAAAAAAACGAGGAACCAGUUUGAACUACAGAAUACCCAAACAACAUUUGGACCAAUCCAAACAGAAGGGGAUGAGGAGGAAAAUGAACCACGGAAAGGAAAUCAAUCAAGAGAGGAAGAAAAACUUACCCAGUCACGCUCGAAUGAGGUCGCUUUUGAUAAAUCAAUAGGUUUUUAGUCUUGCAUAAGGCUGGUGGACUUCUUCAAAUUAUUGACCCGAAUAGCCCUUAAUCGUGUGUUUCCAUGUGAAAACACACGAAAAAAGGCCGUUACAGUCCAAAUUAUUCAAAAAACCGAUGAUUUGCACUUUGGUUUUUUAGGGUUCCUAUAUUCAAAUCAAGAUUCGAGAAGAUGCGGGAAGAUUCGAAGGAAAUGAAGUAUAUUUAUCGAAUGAGGGGGAGACGGGGGUUCAGGGUUGUUAAUUUGGUGGUAACUAGGACUGGUGCCGUCACCUUAAGGCGGUGGAAACAGAGGCGGCGGGCCAGGGUUUUUGGAUGGUCUCUGAGAUAGAGAGGAGUGAAGCAGACGAUGUAGAGGGGGAGAGUGAUUUAGACACUUAAUAUUUAAGUGUCCCCC
Molecule: long non-coding RNA, 9790 nt
Filed under: Nicotiana benthamiana
Lineage: Eukaryota; Viridiplantae; Streptophyta; Magnoliopsida; Solanales; Solanaceae
Description: long non-coding RNA (NBEN_LNC004999)
Source: RNAcentral